UCCUCACAACCUAUUUUCUUUUCCACAGACAAUGUAGAGACAAAACCUGGGAUUUUUGAUCAGAUACCACAUCCAUAAUAGUCUUUCAUCAGUUCUUGCAGGGAGAGGAGUUUCUCUCUCCAUGCCAUGGAGACUUCUCCACAAGAAACAGUUCUCUUGUGGCUUCAAAUGUUACAGUGAAUCAGCUGCCCGGGAAAUAAAAAUCUGUUCACAGUGUGAAAGUCCCUCCCAUGCCUUGCAGCUUUCCCAAACACGCUUUCAUGAGCCGUGUCAAUUUAUGGGGUACUAUUUUAAGGAUGAAUUGUCCUAGCAUUUAAAAAAAAAAAAAAAUUAAGAAAAAAAUUCGUAUUUAAUCUCUGGGAGCAGAGGCUUUUCUUUUUCUAUCUCUGGGGCAAAGUUUCUCAUCUCUCUCUGAUCAAGCUUCUCAUUGGAUCCCAGCUUUUCAGCAGCCACUUGCUCCAGCAAGAAUGCCCUUUUGUCAUCAGCUGUGGGUGAAUGCUAUAUCCCCCCCAUGCACUUCAUGAAUUACAGGGAAAAAACAAAGUCUGAUAUAUCAAAAAUAUAUCAUCACCAUAGCCUUAACAAAGAGAAUGUCAGCACAAGACCAAGGCAUCCUCUCAAUCCCCACCUAACUAGAAUUUGACUCCUUCUUUACUGAUCUCAUUGUCCCAUGUUGUUUUUCUUUACAUGUCUUCACCCUUUCCUUUUCCUGAUUCAGGAAAGAAUUGUUGUUCGUAGGUUAAUUUGUUCUCAAGCUUUAUCAAUUGAAACAGUUUUUAUAGAGUUCUGCAGCGCUGAAAGGUUGAUCUCACCCAGGCUGUGUCUCUGACUGCUGCUCACGGGGUCUCUGCUGACACUGUGCGAGCCGUGCUGGCCGCCAGCUCCACUCAGCGCUUUUCUUCAUGAGGAACACUGGAAGAUAGAAAAGCUGCUGCUGCCAUUUUUGUUCUGCUGUCCUCAGAACUGAAAUAAAUUGGUCAGGAGACGGACUCCUGUUUUAUGCCUUUAUUAGGACUCGGCCUUCAGGUGGGGUUCCAAGGGGUCGCUUGCACCGCUGCUGCUCCCACCCUGGCAGCUCCAAGGAGGAGGCACAAUUCAGCUUUGCAGCACACACUGCAGAGCUGGGGCUUCCGUCCUCACGGGGCGAGCAAGGAGGCCUCUUGUUCUGGGUCAUUGGCCAGGAAGGUCACUCUUAGGUCAUGGCGACCACUUUUAAGCAGACUCAGGUGAUGCAGAAAGACGGUCUUCCAUCAUAGCUUGCUAGGAUAUGUCUCUUUGACCUUUUAUUCCCCUGUUAGCUCGUUGUUUCGGUGUCUGGCAUGCCUUAGUUUGCCUAUGACCCGGGCGCACAGUCCCCUGGGAGCAGCAGCAGUGGUUCCUGACGGGGAAGGGAAACAGGAGUGCAGGGAGCAGGAUUGUUAUAUAGAAACAGGGAAGUAAGGGAAAGGGGGUAGAGGUACAUCUUAUAAAAGAACUCUUAAAACACUUCAACAACCGAAAACAUGGAAGUUGGUGAUGCUGUACAGAAAUUGAGGCUACAUGCCAAACUCCUGCUCCUUGGACUAGUCUUCCAGCAGAAGUGAUUGAAAGAACAAAAAGAAGCCAAGAAUGUGUUCCACUCUAAAACAAAGUUCAAUGAGAAUGUUGCAGCAGUUGAAGCAUUCAAUAGAAAAAGGGAAAAGAAAAAGAAUAAUUUAUUGGGAAUUCCUGAAUCAUUCUUGACAAGGUGUUGUGAGGAAGGGCAACAAGAUAAGGGAUAUCUAAAUCACAGCAAUGAAGGAGAGAAAUAUUUAAUGUCCAUUUGGCAAUAAAGAGGUUUUUAUAAUUAUUUUGGCAGCCAGUUUUUGUGUUGCUAGUCCAACUUAAUGAACACCACAAUGAAAUUUAAAGUAAAUAACAGAAUGAUAUAAACAUUUCUAGUUAUUUAUUUAAAUUCAUUUUUGACAUUUACUAUAGAAGAAUAAAGAUUAUUUUCCUCAAAUUUGUUGAUUUCGAAAUUAAGAACAUCUUGGAUCAGUCUUACUUUGGACCAUCAAAAAUUUUGCAGAAGUAUUGCCCUGGCUAACGUGACUUCCUUCUGGCAUAAGACUCUGGGAGGAGCCUAAGUCUAACUUUACUAAGAAAUUUAAAGACUUUGAGAAAUAUCUAUGCACAUUCCUUUCCAAUUUUAAAGGCUGCCUUAAAACAGUAUCAUUUUUCCUAUAUCAGAAAGGAUGUUAAUACAAAAUAUUACUUGAAAGAUGCUAUUUUUAAAUGAUAGUCUAUAUUUUAAAGGCUGUAGUUCAUGUUUUAUUCCUGCUGCUCAGCCUCUGCAAGGUGACUUUCAUAGAUCUGACUUGGUUGAAAUGUUAUUCAUGUUCCAUAAGGCACUACAAAAUUGUAAGGGUUGCUUCCUUUGUAAUUUAAUAUUCUCUUCUGAUCUCUGUGUCAUUUUCUCAGAGUUAAUUAGCAAAAGAUUGGAAUGGGGAAUUCAUAGAAGUCUUUAUUAAAAUUAUGUUAAAGGGUUAGAAAAUUCAGUGGAGACUUCCUGAAGUGCACAGUAUUAGUGUACAGUAAAUAUAUUUUUCUAUCAGGUUUUCAUACUAAAAUUAUUCAUAUGUAGAACAUUGAUUAUCUGUAUGUUCAACUGGUAAAGCAAAAAAUUCUUUUGGGGUAGUACUUAGAUGGGAUCUGUAGUGAUCCUGUAGUAUGUUUUUAAGAUUCUUAAGCCUUAAUAUAUCACAUCAGUUUCAGGCAAAUUUUGUGGAAGGCUUUUGCUGUUCACAGUGACCAAAAACACAAAAGAAAAAAAAGAAAUAAAGAUGACAAUAUCAUCCCUAAGACAAUAUAGGGUGAAAGGAUCCAGUCUACAGUUCUCAAUUUCUGUACUCCAUAGAUAAUCCAGUGAUAUGUGCCUGUUCUUCUGAAUUUUGAGUAAGAUGGAAUCUCUCAAAUAACCACUAAUUAGAACUGAGAGAAACUUACACUAUUAGAAUAUGGCAUUCUUCCCUUCACCCAUUUUUUUUUUUUCCCAACAA
Parus major (Great Tit) is the source of this 3017-nucleotide long non-coding RNA. RefSeq lists it as uncharacterized. Lineage: Eukaryota; Metazoa; Chordata; Aves; Passeriformes; Paridae. The transcript has 4 exons. The record is from RefSeq and is a predicted model, not a curated record.